Molecule: ribosomal RNA, 591 nt
Filed under: uncultured bacterium
Lineage: Bacteria
Description: bacterial SSU rRNA
Rfam family: Bacterial small subunit ribosomal RNA
Source: RNAcentral
ACUCCUACGGGAGGCAGCAGUGGGGAAUUUUGCGCAAUGGGGGAAACCCUGACGCAGCAACGCCGCGUGAGUGAUGAAGGCCUUCGGGUCGUAAAGCUCUGUCAGAGGGAAAGAAGUGCAGUGGUGCCAAUACCAUCAUUGCUUGACGGUACCCUCAAAGGAAGCACCGGCUAACUCCGUGCCAGCAGCCGCGGUAAUACGGAGGGUGCGAGCGUUGUUCGGAAUUAUUGGGCGUAAAGCGCGUGUAGGCGGUUUUUUAAGUCUGAUGUGAAAGCCCCGGGCUCAACCUGGGAAGUGCAUUGGAAACUGGGAGACUUGAAUACGGGAGAGGGUAGUGGAAUUCCUAGUGUAGGAGUGAAAUCCGUAGAUAUUAGGAGGAACACCGGUGGCGAAGGCGGCUACCUGGACCGAUAUUGACGCUGAGACGCGAAAGCGUGGGGAGCAAACAGGAUUAGAUACCCUGGUAGUCCACGCCGUAAACGAUGAGUACUAGGUGUUGCGGGUAUUGACCCCUGCAGUGCCGCAGCUAACGCAUUAUGUACUCCGCCUGGGAAGUACGGUCGCAAGACUAAAACUCAAAUGAAUUGACGG